This 365-nucleotide transfer-messenger RNA is filed under the name Pseudomonadales. Its description in RNAcentral is "Motiliproteus sp001968815 Standard tmRNA". It matches the Rfam family "transfer-messenger RNA". Rfam says of the family: Bacterial tmRNA, also known as 10Sa RNA or SsrA, is named for its dual tRNA and mRNA-like properties. Its role is to liberate the mRNA from a stalled ribosome. Lineage: Bacteria; Pseudomonadati; Pseudomonadota; Gammaproteobacteria. RNAcentral also lists the same sequence under 1 other name. The record is from RNAcentral.
GGGGCUGAUGUGGUUUCGACAUGGUGCGUAUGUCCAGGGUGCAUGUCGUGAGCGGUGAGUGAUCACGUAAAUCAACCUUACCAAUGCUUAAUUGCAAACGACGAAAACUACGCACUAGCAGCUUAAUAACCUGUCUAGCGCCCUUCCACCUAAGUAUGCCUGUAGACUGGGGCUCGGAAGGUCAUCCCAUACAGGAUCGCGAUGGAUACCUUGCCAGGGGUUGAAGCGUUAAAACUAAUCUGGCUCGCUCAUGAAAAUCCUGUCUGUCGGAGUUUCUACGAGUUAAUUAAAAGACUAGACUAAACAUGUAGAUCGUUGGUUCGGAAACAUUGUGGACGCGGGUUCGAGUCCCGCCAGCUCCACCA